UGGGUGUGGUGAAGUCCAGCAGCAAGUGCUCCACUGUGGGCAUCCAGGGGAUUGCUUGGGCCUUUGGAGGCAUGAUCUUUGCCUUGGUCUACUGCACUGCUGGCAUCUCUGGUAUGUGGUUUUUCCUCCCUUUUUUUUUUGGCCAGACAUUUAAUAGUUAUCUUGUGUUUUAAAUCUUGUUUCUUUUCUUUUCUUUUUUGUUUCUAGUUUUUUAAAAUUUUUGGCAGCAAUUUUCUGUUUCUAGUUUCCUAGGUAUAUCUUUGCUGAGUUAGAAGAUCCAACUUGAAGAAGUCCUUUCGCUAAGGAAAAUUUUGUAGGUGUUUAGUUUCCCUAGUCUAUUUCUUUUCUAAGCUCAUAAAAACUCAAAAAUCCUUGUCUAACCUUGAACCUGUAGCCUAUAGGCUGUAGGAGCUUUUUUUCUUUCCAUCAUUUUUUGAAGAAAAAUAGUAAUUUUUGUUUUUUUAUCUUUUUUAUACUAUAUACUGGUUUUUGCCUGUUGAACAUGGAAAUUCUUCAGUACUUGAUCCGUUUCUUUUGAUUUCGGUUUGUGUAUUACAAAGAAAUUAGUAGUAAAACCAGCUAAACAAGCAUCCUUGAGAGCUCUAAAAACUCUGAUUUCUCAACAGGGGAAAACCUUUUUUUUUUUGGUUCUUCAUAUGGAGGAGUAUUAUUAUUAUUAUUUUUUUUUGAGAGCUCUAUAUACUUGUCUUUCUACUUGGGCAGGUGGGCACAUCAACCCUGCAGUGACCUUUGGCCUGCUGCUGGCAAGGAAGCUGUCCCUGGUCAGGGCUCUGUUCUACAUGGUGAUGCAGUGCCUGGGUGCCAUCUGUGGUGCUGGUGUGGUCAAGGGCUUCCAGACGGGGCUCUAUGAAACUAAUGGUGGUGGAGCCAAUGUUGUUGCCCCUGGCUACACCAAGGGUGAUGGCUUGGGUGCUGAGAUUAUUGGCACCUUUAUCCUUGUUUACACUGUCUUCUCUGCCACUGAUGCCAAGAGGAAUGCCAGAGAUUCUCAUGUGCCUGUAAGCAUUCCUUGCUUUCCCUCAAGAUGGAACUGGUGGCUUUUCUUUCUUUCUAUAUCUCUUGAAUCAAAUAUAAUAACUCUGUUCUGGCUUGUAGUUCUGCAAGAGAAUAUUUGCCAUCUCAGAAACUUCUUGUUCCUUUCCAUUUGGCUGAUGAGAAUUAUUGGGGUUUUGUUGCAGAUUCUUGCUCCCUUGCCUAUUGGGUUUGCUGUUUUCCUUGUCCACCUGGCCACCAUCCCCAUCACUGGCACUGGCAUCAACCCUGCGAGAAGUCUUGGAGCUGCUAUCAUCUACAACAGGCGCCAUGCUUGGGAUGACAUGGUAA
This 1344-nucleotide long non-coding RNA is filed under the name Phoenix dactylifera (date palm). RNAcentral's name for it is "long non-coding RNA (PDAC_LNC004299)". The record is from RNAcentral. Lineage: Eukaryota; Viridiplantae; Streptophyta; Magnoliopsida; Arecales; Arecaceae.